This 648-nucleotide long non-coding RNA is filed under the name Otus sunia (Oriental scops-owl). Its description in RNAcentral is "lncRNA (ENSOSUG00000003627.1)". Lineage: Eukaryota; Metazoa; Chordata; Aves; Strigiformes; Strigidae. The record is from RNAcentral.
GAAAUAACUGUUGUCUGAGGACAAGGAGCUUGACUGAGGGGAAGAACCUGCAUUAACCCUGAAGCUAUUGUCUCUGUCUUUUCCUCUCUGUUUUGUUGAAAGCAUAAAAUCUCUUAAAGCGCAAGGAAAUGCAUCAGAAUUGUCCUUGAACCAUUUUAGAUGUGAAGGGUCCAAGACUUGCUACAGUGCUGACUGGCCACGUGGCUACAAAGUCACUGGAUGAGGAUGCUCCUAGGAGUUUUAGGCUCCUAGGACUUUCAAGACCUUUUCGCUGGAGAGAAAAGGUGAAAACUUGACCUAGUUAUCUCCUUAAAUCAGCAGAAGGCUGCUCAAGGUGCUGCUGAGAGUUUUGGGUGCAGGUACAACGUGAGGUACUUGCUGUCUUGCGAAUGCUUUCUUUGUUCAGUGUUGCUUGUAAUCAGGAGCCAGGCAUUAGCUAGCUCGGCUGUUCCUGUACAAUAUUGGUUACAGUUCUACCAGGUGCACAAUUAGAAAAUUAUCUUCCAGCCUAAGUGGGGAAUGUCAGAGGGCACUUCAGUUUCUUUCACUGUUAAUUCUUUGGCUUGCUUUAAAUAAGUCAUAUCAACAAAUGGUCUGUUACUACCAGUAAUAAUAGGGCUUUUGAAAUGUGUACAUAUCUCUAAUGAG